GAUGAAGAACGUAGCGAAAUGCGAUAAGUAAUGUGAAUUGCAGAAUUCAGUGAAUCAUCGAAUCUUUGAACGCACAUUGCGCCCGCCAGUAUUCUGGCGGGCGUGCCUGUUCGAGCGUCAUUUCAACCCUCAAGCCCCCGGGCUUGGUGUUGGGGAUCGGCGUGCCCUCGCGGCGCGCCGUCCCCUAAAUCUAGUGGCGGUCUCGCUGUAGCUUCCUCUGCGUAGUAGCAACACUCGCACUGGAUCGCAGCGCGGCCACGCCGUUAAACCCCCCACUUCUGAAAGUUUGACCUCGGAUCAGGUAGGAAUACCCGCUGAACUUAAGCAUAUCAAUAAGCGGAGGA
RNAcentral lists this unclassified non-coding RNA (344 nucleotides) under soil metagenome. RNAcentral describes it as "partial contains 5.8S ribosomal RNA, internal transcribed spacer 2, and large subunit ribosomal RNA". The stretch from base 1 to 120 matches the Rfam family "5.8S ribosomal RNA", at positions 35 to 154 of the family's 154-position model. The record is from RNAcentral.